CCUGCUUGCAGGAAGGGAACUGCCUGUCCGGGAAUGCGUGACUACAAUCACCCGCUCCCUGACCUUGCCCUCCCGGCACUGCUGUCUGUGCGCCAAGAGGGAAAAGCACACGGAGACGGGACGGCUCGGGCGCCUGUGGGUGACCUGUGCGGACAAGCCUCUCAGCAAAGCUGCAGCCUGCGGUGAACGUUAGCCCCAAAUAACAGAAAAAUACCCGCCCAAACUUUCAGUGCAGACAUGUGCUCACAGGCCACACCUCCCUUUCUCCUUGACAAGCUGCCUAAAUGGGCGCUGCCAGCCACCUCCUCCCCAGCCUUCCUCCGAUGGUUUUGAAGCCAUCCCAGGUCUCAGCUCCCUGCUCCCCUGUUCCCUCAAGCCUAAGCUUGGAGCGUGCCCAACUACCCGUCACACUCAAGUCUUCAGGUUGGAGCUUGAGGACCCCAGACCCAGAGGAGGGUGUGUCUGUGCCCAAGAGCUGACCUCCUUUGUGGACCCUGGCACUUGUUCCCGGACGCCACCCCACCCAGAUCAGGACCUGAGCCUGGUGGCCUUGGACUCUAGCCCACAGACCUCCUCUGCAGCGUCAGACUUGUCCAGUGACCCCACUUGGGAGAUCCGACAGUCAUGUUUGGCUUCAAAGCAAAGUUUGUAUUCACUCCUAGAGAAAUCCCUGCUCAUCACUGACUUGGUCCAGGGAAUGUUCAGAUGGAUUCAACCUUCUGAGAUCAGACUCUGAGAGAGUGGCAGGCAGUGUAGCCCAGGGCUGGGGCAGGUGAGCAUUAACACCACCCAGGAUGCAACCCAAAGAUAGGGGCAAACUGAUCUAAAGUUUAUAUGGAAGCAAAAGACCCAGGACAGCCCACACAAUAUUGAAAGAGAAGAACAAAGUUGGAGGCUGACACCACCCGGCUUUAAGACUUGCUAUAAAGCUUGUUACCAACAUAGUGUGGUGUUGGUGAAGUAGCAGACAAAUAGAUCAAUGAAACAGAAGAGAGCCCAGAAAUAGAUCCCAUAAGUAUGGUCACUGAUCUUUGGCAAAGGGGCAAAGGCAACACAAUGAAGCAAAGAUAAUCUCUUCAGCCAAUGGUGCUGAAACAACUGGACAUCUACAUGCAAAAAAAAAAAAAUCAAUCUAGACACAGAUCAUUUACCCUUCACCAAAUUAAAUCAAAAUGGAUCACAGACCUAGCUAUAAAACACAAAACUAUAAAACUUCUACAAGGUGGCACAGGAGAAAAACUAGAUGCCCUUGGGUAUGAAGAUGACUUUUUAGAUACGACACCAAAGAUAUAAGCAACAAGCUGGACUUCAUUAAAAUUACAAAUGUCUGCUGUUCAAAAGACAGUUUGAAGAGAAUAAGAAGACAAGCCACAAACAGGAAGAAAAUAUUUGCAAAAGACAAAUCUGCUAAAUAUACAAUGAAUUCUUGAAACUCAACAAUAUGAAAACAAACAACUCAAAUUAAAAAUUAGCCAAUGACCUUGACAGCUACCUCACCAAAGAAGAGAUACAGACGGCAAGUAAACAUAUGAAAAAGAUGCUCCACAUCCUAUGUCAUCAAGGACAUAAAAAUUAGAACCACCUAUACGGCUCUAAAAAAAUAGUCUUAUGAAAAAUAAGAAAAGACAACAAAAAGAGUCUAGAAGGGACAAUGGCGUGGAUAUAGAGUCUGUCCCCUGACUCGGAGCUCCGUGGGACAGGGUGUCUCGGAGAUGGGCAGGAGUGACCAGGCUGCACUCCAGGCCAGGGUCCCCUCGUGCCGCAGCCACACUAGGAAGGCACAGUGCCCUCCCCUCCAAAUGGCCGAGGGACGCAAUGUUGAAAGCAGGCUUUGCUCAGUCUCUUUGGCCUUAAAGUUGUGGAGGGCACAUCCUCGGGGCUGCUUCCCUGCGUAUUAGUAAGACGCUCAGUGCCGACUGCUCAGACAGCCCAGGGCCGAUGACGCCUUCGCCGUUUCUGCAAAGGCAGUCUCCAUGGACAUGGGGCGCUGGACGGCAGUGGGAGGCAGGGGCC
Molecule: long non-coding RNA, 2013 nt
Organism: Myotis daubentonii (Daubenton's bat)
Lineage: Eukaryota; Metazoa; Chordata; Mammalia; Chiroptera; Vespertilionidae
Source: RefSeq, a predicted model, not a curated record